This 1589-nucleotide ribosomal RNA is filed under the name Escherichia coli. Its description in RNAcentral is "partial 23S ribosomal RNA". It matches the Rfam family "Bacterial large subunit ribosomal RNA", at positions 114 to 1746 of the family's 2925-position model. Lineage: Bacteria; Pseudomonadati; Pseudomonadota; Gammaproteobacteria; Enterobacterales; Enterobacteriaceae. The record is from RNAcentral.
CCGAAUGGGGAAACCCAGUGUGAUUCGUCACACUAUCAUUAACUGAAUCCAUAGGUUAAUGAGGCGAACCGGGGGAACUGAAACAUCUAAGUACCCCGAGGAAAAGAAAUCAACCGAGAUUCCCCCAGUAGCGGCGAGCGAACGGGGAGCAGCCCAGAGCCUGAAUCAGUGUGUGUGUUAGUGGAAGCGUCUGGAAAGGCGUGCGAUACAGGGUGACAGCCCCGUACACAAAAAUGCACAUAUUGUGAGCUCGAUGAGUAGGGCGGGACACGUGGUAUCCUGUCUGAAUAUGGGGGGACCAUCCUCCAAGGCUAAAUACUCCUGACUGACCGAUAGUGAACCAGUACCGUGAGGGAAAGGCGAAAAGAACCCCGGCGAGGGGAGUGAAAAAGAACCUGAAACCGUGUACGUACAAGCAGUGGGAGCACGCUUAGGCGUGUGACUGCGUACCUUUUGUAUAAUGGGUCAGCGACUUAUAUUCUGUAGCAAGGUUAACCGAAUAGGGGAGCCGAAGGGAAACCGAGUCUUAACUGGGCGUUAAGUUGCAGGGUAUAGACCCGAAACCCGGUGAUCUAGCCAUGGGCAGGUUGAAGGUUGGGUAACACUAACUGGAGGACCGAACCGACUAAUGUUGAAAAAUUAGCGGAUGACUUGUGGCUGGGGGUGAAAGGCCAAUCAAACCGGGAGAUAGCUGGUUCUCCCCGAAAGCUAUUUAGGUAGCGCCUCGUGAAUUCAUCUCCGGGGGUAGAGCACUGUUUCGGCAAGGGGGUCAUCCCGACUUACCAACCCGAUGCAAACUGCGAAUACCGGAGAAUGUUAUCACGGGAGACACACGGCGGGUGCUAACGUCCGUCGUGAAGAGGGAAACAACCCAGACCGCCAGCUAAGGUCCCAAAGUCAUGGUUAAGUGGGAAACGAUGUGGGAAGGCCCAGACAGCCAGGAUGUUGGCUUAGAAGCAGCCAUCAUUUAAAGAAAGCGUAAUAGCUCACUGGUCGAGUCGGCCUGCGCGGAAGAUGUAACGGGGCUAAACCAUGCACCGAAGCUGCGGCAGCGACGCUUAUGCGUUGUUGGGUAGGGGAGCGUUCUGUAAGCCUGCGAAGGUGUGCUGUGAGGCAUGCUGGAGGUAUCAGAAGUGCGAAUGCUGACAUAAGUAACGAUAAAGCGGGUGAAAAGCCCGCUCGCCGGAAGACCAAGGGUUCCUGUCCAACGUUAAUCGGGGCAGGGUGAGUCGACCCCUAAGGCGAGGCCGAAAGGCGUAGUCGAUGGGAAACAGGUUAAUAUUCCUGUACUUGGUGUUACUGCGAAGGGGGGACGGAGAAGGCUAUGUUGGCCGGGCGACGGUUGUCCCGGUUUAAGCGUGUAGGCUGGUUUUCCAGGCAAAUCCGGAAAAUCAAGGCUGAGGCGUGAUGACGAGGCACUACGGUGCUGAAGCAACAAAUGCCCUGCUUCCAGGAAAAGCCUCUAAGCAUCAGGUAACAUCAAAUCGUACCCCAAACCGACACAGGUGGUCAGGUAGAGAAUACCAAGGCGCUUGAGAGAACUCGGGUGAAGGAACUAGGCAAAAUGGUGCCGUAACUUCGGGAGAAGG